This is a non-coding RNA of Acanthosepion pharaonis, 115 nucleotides long. The record is from the annotation of a GenBank genome assembly. Lineage: Eukaryota; Metazoa; Mollusca; Cephalopoda; Sepiida; Sepiidae.
UUACGGCCAUAUCACGUUGAAAACAACGGUUCACGUACGAUCACCGAAGUUAAGAAACGACCAGCCUGGUUAGUAUCAAGUUGGGUGACCGCUAGGGAAUACCAGGUGCUGUAAU